GAUGAACGCUGGCGGCGUGCCUAACACAUGCAAGUCGAACGGAGUCCAGCCUUUAAGACCUUCGGGUCAAAGAGGGGAAGACUGAGUGGCGGACGGGUGAGUAACACGUGGGCAACCUGGCUCAUAGAGGGGGAUAACAGAGAGAAAUUUCUGCUAAUACCGCAUAAGCACACACUGCCGCAUGGCAGAGGGUGAAAAGAGAAUCGCUAUGAGAUGGACCCGCGUCUGAUUAGCCAGUUGGCAGGGUAAGAGCCUACCAAAGCGACGAUCAGUAGCCGAUCUGAGAGGAUGAACGGGCACAUUGGGAAUGAGACACGGCCCCAACCCCUACGGGAGGCAGGCGUGGGGGAUAUUGCAAAAUGGGGGGAACCCUGAUGCAGCGACGCCGCGUGAGUGAAGAAGUAUUUCGGUAUGUAAAGCUCUAUCAGCAGGGAAGAUAAUGACAGUACCUGAAUAAGAAGCCCCGGCUAACUACGUG
Molecule: ribosomal RNA, 478 nt
Filed under: uncultured bacterium
Lineage: Bacteria
Description: partial 16S ribosomal RNA
Rfam family: Bacterial small subunit ribosomal RNA
Source: RNAcentral